GACGAACGCUGGCGGCGUGCUUAACACAUGCAAGUCGAACGGAAAGACCCUGCUUUUGUGGGGUGCUCGAGUGGCGAACGGGUGAGUAACACGUGAGUAACCUGCCCUUGACUUUGGGAUAACUUCAGGAAACUGGGGCUAAUACCGGAUAGGAGCUCCUGCUGCAUGGUGGGGGUUGGAAAGUUUCGGCGGUUGGGGAUGGACUCGCGGCUUAUCAGCUUGUUGGUGGGGUAGUGGCUUACCAAGGCUUUGACGGGUAGCCGGCCUGAGAGGGUGACCGGCCACAUUGGGUCUGAGAUACGGCCCAGACUCCUACGGGAGGCAGCAGUGGGGAAUAUUGCACAAUGGGCGGAAGCCUGAUGCAGCAACGCCGCGUGCGGGAUGACGGCCUUCGGGUUGUAAACCGCUUUCGCCUGUGACGAAGCGUGAGUGACGGUAAUGGGUAAAGAAGCACCGGCUAACUACGUG
Molecule: ribosomal RNA, 468 nt
Filed under: uncultured bacterium
Lineage: Bacteria
Description: partial 16S ribosomal RNA
Rfam family: Bacterial small subunit ribosomal RNA
Source: RNAcentral